UUCCCUGAUUAUAUUAUGAAAUCCUAAUCCUGUCCUCUUCUGCUGCACAGAAUUAGAAUAAACAUGGUGUUGCAACACCAGAUCCCGUUUUGGGAGCUGAAGUCCACAGUACAGCUGUCCCUCGCAAUGAGCUGUGCCCUGAAGAACUGCAUUUCCCAUCAGCCAACACUAAUCUUACAUGGGGACAACAUCUUUCAGGAGAUGUUGUGAAAGUCUUGCACCUGACAGUAUUGUCUGUCAAUGUCUGCAGACUAAUGCACAGCUACAUCCUCGAUCAGGAAGGAGAAAGACAUACGGGUUUCUGAAUAGAAUCAGCACAGCUUCUUCUUACCAUGGAUAAACAGGCCACUGUGGUGUUUCGAAAUGUGGGGCAAAUGUACUUCCCCCAAACCAGGGUAGAGUGUCACUACAGUCUGACCUGUGACCAUCAGUGGAGUAGCUGUGACUGGAUCGGGAUCUUUGAGGAGGGCUGGUCUUCAGUGAGACAGUAUCACACAUACACAUGGGCUCUUGCUCCUGAUGGCUAUACUGAGGGAACCAAUGCCAACUGCUGCGUCCUUUUCCAGGCAUCUUACCUGCCGCGCCCCAGUGCUGCACAGUACCAGUUUGUGUACGUGGAUAAGAUGGGUGAGGUUUGUGGUGAGAGUCGGCUCUUCAGCUUCUGUGCCCCCAAACCAUUGGAGGAACUAGAGACUCUCAAAGAGGAACGAGACGAGGAGGACGGAGAGGAGGACCUGCUCCUGGUCAUUCCCAGAGCUCAGCUCCUACAGAGUCAGCUGGAGGAAUGCUUGAAACAACAAGCGGAUUUACAACAUGGUCUGGAUGUGGCCAAAAAAGAGAUGGAGACUGAGAAUGAGAGGAGCAAAAAGGAAAGGAUGGAAUGGGAGUCUGAAAGAGAAGCGAUGAAAGAUGAGAUUUCAGAGCUGAGACAAACAGUGAGACAAAAAAGUAAAAUGUUGACAAAGAUUGAAGGAAAGCACAAUGAUGUGAUGUACAGUCAGGAAAGUCUGACCUCUAAAAUGAGUAACCUUUUGGCUGAAAAAGAAAAGAGCCAGCAGCGAAUCAGAGAGCUGGAGGACAACAUCAAGGUCUUGACUGCCAGGGAGGUGGAGGAAAACACUGAACUUCAAAGACUGAAGGACAGAGUGAAGAAAGUCUCCGGUCAAAUGAAGCAUGAAGAAGAAAAGAGAAAAUGUGUGCAGGUAACUGACAGCCACCCGUCAAACGCCCUCUCUGUCCUUCACCGUCUUUCUAAAACUGCUCCUGUUGACUCCCGAAAGGUGGAGAAGGAUGCUGCUGUGGAGGAGGUGAGAGGGCUGCAGGAACGCCUGGAAGUGAGUGAGCACGCGGCCGAGAGCCUGCGCCGGGAGGUGAGGGAGCUCGGAACCCGCCUGAAUCACACGCACGCCGAGCUGCACCAAGCGUGGCUGCAGGUGGGCCAGCUCACCCUGCAGCUGUCUGAGGAGAACCUGCUCCUCAGGGAGGAGCGUGCCAACUGGACCCUGGAAAGAGAGGCUUCCAAACACACAGCAGAGAUUGAAAAAAAGAAGUUGCAAGAACUGAGCAGUGAGGUGCAGAGGCUAGAGGGGUGGCUCCAAGAGGAGAGGGCCGAGAGGGAGCGAGUCGAAGUGGAACACUGCAGAGAGAGAGAUUACAACAGAGUGCUGCUGAGUGAUGCAAAGCGAGAGCUGCAGGAGCUGAAGGCCCGUCUGAAGAGGAGCCGAGCAUCGAGCGAGGAGCAACUGGACCAGCAGGACGUAAUGACUGAUAUCAGUCAGUCCGAGCAGAGGUCAGAUGGAGACGUUUCCACCUCUAUGUCUCCUUCCUCUUCAUCUGAGGAUGAUGAACAUGCGUCUUCAGCUGCUCCCACAUCUGUCCGACUGCCUUCGGUGACUCAGCUGGAGCAGGACAACCUUCCUGAGACGCACAUUCAUAGCAAAGAAGAUGAAGUAGAAGACGUGCGACACUGUGAACCUCGAGCUUUUGAUGGGAAACAGAUGAUGCUGCAAGAAGUCGUGGACCCUGUCCUGAGUGAGCUGGCCGACUCUCCCAUGUGGUAACACAAAGAUGGAUGGUGUGUUAGUUUGCCGCUGCUGUGCAAGUUCACGCAGGUCAUCAGGAAACUCAGACGAGUGUUUACUGAAAUGACAAAGUGCAACUUCACUUUCACCUUCUAUUUGUGUAGCGGUGUUUCUGAUGAGUGCCUCAUUUUGCCUGAUAAAGUUAAAUUCAGGACAAGUUAUUUUGGUGACAUAUGAGCCCAUAGUUUUUGCAUGUGGGUGUGAAUCCCAAGACCAUGUUAAAUGUGUGGGGGUGUGUUACAGACCUGUGUGAAAUGUUCUGUUGCAGCUUUCUUGAGGAGCAAGUUAGGAAAGUUUAUUUUUGGUUCUUUUUUCCUUCACCUGAGCUUUUGUUGGCAGAGUGAGAAGCACUUAAUAUGAUAAAUGCUCUAUGUCGAUUGUAAGAUAACGUCAAAUCCACACCCUGCAGGGGGUUACUCAAUUUAAUGGCUUGUUCAAGUUUUAAAGGACAAAUACUUUUCUUUUAAUAAACUGUUGAGCAGGUACCUAAUUGGAUAAGGAGCUCUCCUGGCAGUAUGAAGACCUGGGUUCGAAUCACCCUCAUGCUGCUUGUCUGUGUCCUUGGACAAGACACUUAAUCCACAUUGUCUCAGUCCACCCAG
RNA transcript from Thalassophryne amazonica, 2683 nucleotides. It is a transcript of the gene named calcium-binding and coiled-coil domain-containing protein 1-like, with no coding region annotated. The transcript has 14 exons. NCBI's taxonomy places the organism in Eukaryota, Metazoa, Chordata, Actinopteri, Batrachoidiformes, Batrachoididae. The record is from RefSeq and is a predicted model, not a curated record.